AAUAAACCAAGCUCAUCUAGAAAUGUGAAGAUAAAGUUUCCUCCGCCAGAAGAAAACAAAAAGCCAAGUGCUUAUGAUUUGUUCUUACAAAUAAAAAGAGAAAAAGAAGCGAAAAAGAGAAGGGCAACAAAACAAAAAGAAAAAGCCCUGGGUAAAAGACUAGUAGUAAAGGAAGAAAGCUUUCCUUCAGAUGAAGAAAAAGCCCUCCUUCAUCUCCGCCC
RNAcentral lists this long non-coding RNA (221 nucleotides) under Gossypium raimondii (Peruvian cotton). RNAcentral describes it as "long non-coding RNA (GRAI_LNC001285)". Lineage: Eukaryota; Viridiplantae; Streptophyta; Magnoliopsida; Malvales; Malvaceae. The record is from RNAcentral.